RNAcentral lists this ribosomal RNA (491 nucleotides) under uncultured bacterium. RNAcentral's name for it is "bacterial SSU rRNA". It matches the Rfam family "Bacterial small subunit ribosomal RNA", at positions 28 to 507 of the family's 1533-position model. The record is from RNAcentral.
GAUGAACGCUAGCUACAGGCUUAACACAUGCAAGUCGCGGGGCAGCAUUUCCUUAGCUUGCUAAGGAAGAUGGCGACCGGCGCACGGGUGAGUAACGCGUAUCCAACCUUCCCAUGUCCACGGGAUAGCCCGUCGAAAGGCGGAUUAAUACCGUAUGAGGUCACAUGCGGGCAUCUAAUUGUGACGAAAGGUUUAGCGGACAUGGAUGGGGAUGCGUCCGAUUAGCUUGUUGGCGGGGUAACGGCCCACCAAGGCGACGAUCGGUAGGGGUUCUGAGAGGAAGGUCCCCCCACAUUGGAACUGAGACACGGUCCAAACUCCUACGGGAGGCAGCAGUGAGGAAUAUUGGUCAAUGGGCGAGAGCCUGAACCAGCCAAGUAGCGUGCAGGAUGACGGCCCUAUGGGUUGUAAACUGCUUUUAUAAGGGAAUAAAGUGAGCCUCGUGAGGCUUUUUGCAUGUACCUUAUGAAUAAGGACCGGCUAAUUCCGUG